AGACUCUCUGCCCCAGCUGCCUGCUUCACAAACUCAGUCGUUCAGUUCCUCGCCAUUCUCUUCACCCAGUUACGCCCACCAGCUUCCUUUGUUUAACUAUGCCUGGCCUUUGUCCUCCUCCUCAUCUCCUCAUCUGACAUGGUGGCAGAAGCUCUCCUUCCUCUCGACUGGACCGGAGGUUCAUGCCAUUGAUGCUGAAGACGUCUCCUCAGCAGCCAUGGAGGCGUUUGCGGAGGUGCCUUUGUUUGAGCUUGAUUACGAGGAAGAGGAUGUUCUGUCAGCGCAGAGGAAGGGUGCCAGUACGUACGCGUCUCACCCCGUGGCGCCCCCGGCGGACGCUGACCCCGACACCUUCAUCUACAUGAACUUCAUGAAGCGUCACUGCUGCUACGACGCCAUUCCCACCAGCUCCAAGCUGGUCAUCUUUGACACCACGCUGCAGGUGAAGAAGGCCUUCUUCGCUCUGGUGGCAAACGGCGUGAGGGCGGCGCCGCUGUGGGACAGCAAGCUGCAGUGCUUUGUGGGUAUGCUGACCAUCACCGACUUCAUCAACAUUCUGCAUCGAUACUACAAAUCUCCUCUGGUUCAGAUCUACGAGCUGGAAGAACAUAAAAUAGAGACGUGGAGAGAAAUCUAUUUACAGUACUCAAAUAAUCAACUGAUUAGCAUCACACCUGAGUCCAGCCUGUUUGACGCCAUCUACUCGCUGUUAAAGAACAAGAUCCACCGUCUGCCAGUCAUCGACCCGGCGUCAGGAAACGUCCUUCACAUCCUCACUCACAAGCGCAUCCUCAAAUUCCUCCACAUUUUUGGGUCCAUGAUUCCUAAACCCCGGUUCCUUCAGAAACGGAUCAGCGAGGUUCCCAUCGGUACCUUCAAGCAGAUCGCAACGGUCCAGGAGUCUGCCACUGUUUACGAAGCUCUGAGCAUUUUUGUAGAAAGAAGAGUGUCCGCUCUGCCGGUGGUCAAUGAGCAAGAUAAAGUCGUGGCGCUCUACUCCAGAUUUGAUGUGAUUAACUUAGCGGCUCAAAAGAACUACAACAAUUUAAACAUGACAAUGCGGGAGGCCAUCGCAUGCAGGUCCUGCUGGAUGGAGGGAGUCCUCAAGUGUUACCCCCACGAAACUCUGGAGACCAUCAUUGACCGCAUUGCAAAGGCUGAGGUUCAUCGUCUGGUUCUGGUCGACAGCGAUGAUGUGGUGAGAGGGAUCGUCUCUCUGUCCGACCUUCUCCAAGCUCUGGUUCUGUCUCCUGCAGGUAUUGAUGCUCUGUACUCGUAAUGACAACCAUCUGCCCCCUCACCUCCUUCAGCCUUCAGUCCAUCAGCCUGAUGCUUCUAGGUAAACCACCAGGAGCCUUUCCUCUUCUUUAAAAUCCGCUUGUAAUCCUCCUUGGCUGUAAACAAUUUCCCCUUUUUACAAUGAACACAUCCCAGAACCCAUCACUUCCUGUAAGCGCAUCGCCCACCAAUUAUUAACCUCCUGACUUUCUUUAGGACCUUACAUGUCCUUCUUUAAAGCCCUUAUCAGCUCAAAAAUACAGCUUUCAAGAAUCCACACUUUCACAAAACCAAACCAAUCCUAAAAUCUGUCAGCCCGCCAAAAAGAAGCAAACCCCAGAGCUCCCAGCUGAACCUCCCACCCAUCAGCAUCCUCAGCCCUUCACAUUAUCCCAGUCAGCAGACGUCUUCAUGCUGCCCUUCCUCCUCUGAACCCACCAGAACCUCCCAGAUAUCUACAAAAAGAGACGUUUUUAAGACAGAUUUUUACACUUUGAGUGCAGAAGAAAAGGAGGAAGUUCAUGUUUCUGUGCUCAAGUGGAGUCAGAGUUCCUUCAAAUCGUGUUUGAACGGGAACAUUUUCGGUUGUUUCGGACAACGGCCUGUAACUGACUGAGACGCUGAUGCUUCACAAUGAAGUUUUUCAUUCAAAUGUUAAGAAAAUGUGAAUUUAUUCAGAGAGAAAUUCUUUAUCCUGUCAUUUAGUCUAUUCGGUCAGGAAGUUGUGGGUUAAAAUUCUUAAUUUAUUUAUGAUUAUUUUCAGUUUUUGUCCCUCUUUUUCAGGAUUUACAUUUUCAAAUUGAGAUGUUCAGUUUACACUCAUUCAUACCUUCUGUAUGUUUUAUUACUCGGUGCAUCCUCACUGUGACAGUUCGCUCAAACACUGAUGUCACAUGACAGGUUAGAACAAAGUCUUAUUGUUUUCUGAUAUAAUAAAACAAAACUAAAGACA
RNA transcript from Oryzias melastigma (Indian medaka), 2230 nucleotides. It is a transcript of the gene named protein kinase, AMP-activated, gamma 3b non-catalytic subunit, with no coding region annotated. The transcript is spliced from 13 exons. NCBI's taxonomy places the organism in Eukaryota, Metazoa, Chordata, Actinopteri, Beloniformes, Adrianichthyidae. The record is from RefSeq and is a predicted model, not a curated record.